CACUAUCGUUAACUGAAUACAUAGGUUAACGAGGCGAACCGGGGGAACUGAAACAUCUAAGUACCCCGAGGAAAAGAAAUCAACCGAGAUUCCCCCAGUAGCGGCGAGCGAACGGGGAGCAGCCCAGAGUCUGAAUCAGCUUGUGUGUUAGUGGAACGGUCUGGAAAGUCCGACGGUACAGGGUGAUAGUCCCGUACACCAAAAUGCACAGGCUGUGAACUCGAAGAGUAGGGCGGGACACGUGGUAUCCUGUCUGAAUAUGGGGGGACCAUCCUCCAAGGCUAAAUACUCCUGACUGACCGAUAGUGAACCAGUACCGUGAGGGAAAGGCGAAAAGAACCCCGGCGAGGGGAGUGAAAAAGAACCUGAAACCGUGUACGUACAAGCAGUGGGAGCACCUUCGGGUGUGACUGCGUACCUUUUGUAUAAUGGGUCAGCGACUUAUAUUCUGUAGCAAGGUUAACCGUAUAGGGGAGCCGCAGGGAAACCGAGUCUUAACUGGGCGUUAAGUUGCAGGGUAUAGACCCGAAACCCGGUGAUCUAGCCAUGGGCAGGUUGAAGGUUGGGUAACACUAACUGGAGGACCGAACCGACUAAUGUUGAAAAAUUAGCGGAUGACUUGUGGCUGGGGGUGAAAGGCCAAUCAAACCGGGAGAUAGCUGGUUCUCCCCGAAAGCUAUUUAGGUAGCGCCUCGUGAAUUCAUCUUCGGGGGUAGAGCACUGUUUCGGCUAGGGGGUCAUCCCGACUUACCAACCCGAUGCAAACUACGAAUACCGAAGAAUGUUAUCACGGGAGACACACGGCGGGUGCUAACGUCCGUCGUGAAGAGGGAAACAACCCAGACCGCCAGCUAAGGUCCCAAAGUCAUGGUUAAGUGGGAAACGAUGUGGGAAGGCACAGACAGCCAGGAUGUUGGCUUAGAAGCAGCCAUCAUUUAAAGAAAGCGUAAUAGCUCACUGGUCGAGUCGGCCUGCGCGGAAGAUGUAACGGGGCUAAACCAUGCACCGAAGCUGCGGCAGCGACACUAUGUGUUGUUGGGUAGGGGAGCGUUCUGUAAGCCUGCGAAGGUGACCUGUGAGGGUUGCUGGAGGUAUCAGAAGUGCGAAUGCUGACAUAAGUAACGAUAAAGCGGGUGAAAAGCCCGCUCGCCGGAAGACCAAGGGUUCCUGUCCAACGUUAAUCGGGGCAGGGUGAGUCGACCCCUAAGGCGAGGCCGAAAGGCGUAGUCGAUGGGAAACAGGUUAAUAUUCCUGUACUUGGUGUUACUGCGAAGGGGGGACGGAGAAGGCUAUGUUAGCCGGGCGACGGUUGUCCCGGUUUAAGCAUGUAGGCUGGUUGUCCAGGCAAAUCCGGAUAAUCAAGGCUGAGGUGUGAUGACGAGG
This 1383-nucleotide ribosomal RNA is filed under the name Klebsiella pneumoniae. RNAcentral describes it as "partial 23S ribosomal RNA". It matches the Rfam family "Bacterial large subunit ribosomal RNA", at positions 146 to 1574 of the family's 2925-position model. Lineage: Bacteria; Pseudomonadati; Pseudomonadota; Gammaproteobacteria; Enterobacterales; Enterobacteriaceae. RNAcentral also lists the same sequence under 1 other name. The record is from RNAcentral.